RNAcentral lists this long non-coding RNA (1952 nucleotides) under Gallus gallus (chicken). RNAcentral's name for it is "lncRNA (ENSGALG00010011502.1)". Lineage: Eukaryota; Metazoa; Chordata; Aves; Galliformes; Phasianidae. The record is from RNAcentral.
GUAAAGAAAAAACACCGAUCUUGUCUGUGAAAAUCAUUUUAGUUAAAAGUAGACUGUAGUCUUUGAGGAAAUGUAUCUUCAGUCAAAUCUGAUUCCUGAGAGUUUAAUGCAUUUUAAUAGGAAGGUUAGCUAUUUUUCGUCAGUGAGCUAUUUAUGCUCACCCACCUCUGAUACGUAGUCAAGAGACUUUAAUUUCAUCAUCUGUUCCUGCUAACCUUCCAUGAGAUCAGUCAUUGGCACUCUGUGGAUAGGUCUGUUUCCUCAGUAUGUGCAUACAGUGCCCAUGUUGCUCUUGUAGAAUAGAAUCCCUGCAUGUGCGUAUAAGCGUAUUAGUAUAGCUUUAUUCAGUCUAAAGUGCUGAGUUAGGAAUGUCUGAAUGCCUGUGAUUCAAUUCCCUCUUAGAUCUGUUUCCUCUAUGAGUGUAUUUGGAUUCGUACUAAAGAUGAGGUUUAGAUGCAGGAAAACACAUUAACAUCCCAGUUCCCCUGCUGUGUGUGCUAACAAGGCCAUGGUGACAGCCCUGCAUAGGCUUCCUGCUGCCAUGUUGCACAUUCCUGUAGAAAAAUCAGGGAAUUUGGGAAUGUUGAGGACUUGCCAUAUUCACUCCUGGGGCAAGCUGUUGUGUAAGGGUUUGUCAUGGACAGAUGCAGAGAAGACAAGAGGGAGCUUAGUACUGAUACCUGGCAGACACGAAACAGACAUAAGAUUCUGGUAUCACCUUCUGAGAUUGUGUAUUGCCUGACUUAAAUGUCCUGUCAAAUACAUGCAAGUUUCUAAAAGCGAGACCGGUGGUCUUUCACUGCAGAUUGAAGUUUUCUCCUUUCAGUUUGUUUUCCAUCCUCACUGUCAGUGUUCUCUUUAGAAGUGGUGAUGUGCAGAAGUUGAAAAUGUGCUUGUGUUGGGUAUCUUCUGACAGUUUGCCACUCUUUUUUUCUGGAUAAGUAGUACUGCGGGUCAUGCAUUAAACUCUUUGGAUCUGUUCAGCAGCUUAUUAGUGUGACUUAUCUGUGUUUGAGACUGCCGUUGUGCAGCCCCUAUUGGUGCUGUCUUUCAAAGCAGGUGAUCAUCUGCAGGCUGCCUAUCGGGAAUGUCCUCUAAACCAUGCCCAGAAAUUGUAUGGGAGAGUACUCACAAAGGGCUGGGCGAGAAGAGGACAGGAACUAUUUUAAUGAGGAAGUACAGUUGAUGAGGUUUUGAUGUUUGUGCCAUCAUACAGUCUAACUUUCCUAGCAGCUCAUGAGUCAAAAGGAAGUGUCCUGCCAAACACUCCAGAGAAGUAUGCAGUAGUCGUGGGCUUUGCGACUGCUUUCUGACUGGUGACUGCUAAGAUCACGUACUGUGUCUGUGUGGGUGAACUACCUUGAGGUUAACAGUUACCUUGACAUUAACCAUUCUGUAUUGAGGGGGAAACCAGCGAUGUUCUUACACUGGACUUAAAUCUUUCUAAAUAGUCAUUUAUACAGUGAUAACAGGUAACUGAAGACAACUCUUGCUCACUAUUAAUACUGAGAUCAAAUACAAAAGAAUCUUUUUGCUGCUAUGGACCAAGGCUAUCAACCUUACCUGUGUUAUGAGGCUGGUGGCAUGUAAUCUUAUGUAGCAUGUGCAGUAGUGGUUGUUUUUUCAUUCUGUCACAGAUUCUCUCAAAUGUUCACUUAGAAUUGGAUCUCAAUUGCUGUUGAUCCCUGUUUCUUGCUGAGCUUGGUGUCUUUGUACACGUGCACACCUCUGGUGUCUUUGUACAUGUGUACACCUUCAGAUUUGACCACUGGCUUUUCUCUGAAAAAAAUAAAGCAUAGUUGUUUUCUGUUCUUGGGUGUUAGCACAUUGUUAACCAAUUGGAAGGGUAACAUGCUCUUUAUUUCCUUGGGAGAUGAUGUGUGUAUGUAUUAGGGUACAGCUCAUAGGCACAUGUAAAAUUAAUCUACUUCAAAAUACUAUUUAUGAUCUGU